Molecule: ribosomal RNA, 812 nt
Filed under: human gut metagenome
Description: bacterial SSU rRNA
Rfam family: Bacterial small subunit ribosomal RNA
Source: RNAcentral
AGAGUUUGAUCCUGGCUCAGGACGAACGCUGGCGGCGUGCUUAACACAUGCAAGUCGAACGCUGAAGGCUCAGCUUGCUGGGCUGGAUGAGUGGCGAACGGGUGAGUAACACGUGAGUAACCUGCCCUCUUCUUUGGGAUAACGGUCGGAAACGGCUGCUAAUACCGGGUAUUCACUGUCCUUCGCAUGGGGGGUGGUGGAAAGGUUUUUUCUGGUGGGGGAUGGGCUCGCGGCCUAUCAGCUUGUUGGUGGGGUGAUGGCUUACCAAGGCUUUGACGGGUAACCGGCCUGAGAGGGUGACCGGUCACAUUGGGACUGAGAUACGGCCCAGACUCCUACGGGAGGCAGCAGUGGGGAAUAUUGCACAAUGGGCGAAAGCCUGAUGCAGCGACGCCGCGUGAGGGAUGAAGGCCUUCGGGUUGUAAACCUCUUUCGCUCAUGGUCAAGCCGCAACUUUGGGUUGUGGUGAGGGUAGUGGGUAAAGAAGCACCGGCUAACUACGUGCCAGCAGCCGCGGUAAUACGUAGGGUGCGAGCGUUGUCCGGAAUUAUUGGGCGUAAAGGGCUUGUAGGCGGUUUGUCGCGUCUGCCGUGAAAUCCUCUGGCUUAACUGGGGGCGUGCGGUGGGUACGGGCAGGCUUGAGUGCGGUAGGGGAGACUGGAACUCCUGGUGUAGCGGUGGAAUGCGCAGAUAUCAGGAAGAACACCGGUGGCGAAGGCGGGUCUCUGGGCCGUUACUGACGCUGAGGAGCGAAAGCGUGGGGAGCGAACAGGAUUAGAUACCCUGGUAGUCCACGCUGUAAACGUUGGGCA